UAAAGCUAUCGCUGGCAUUCUGCUCUGGAC
Molecule: non-coding RNA, 30 nt
Filed under: Rattus norvegicus (Norway rat)
Lineage: Eukaryota; Metazoa; Chordata; Mammalia; Rodentia; Muridae
Source: RNAcentral